This 468-nucleotide ribosomal RNA is filed under the name uncultured bacterium. RNAcentral's name for it is "partial 16S ribosomal RNA". It matches the Rfam family "Bacterial small subunit ribosomal RNA", at positions 28 to 507 of the family's 1533-position model. The record is from RNAcentral.
GACGAACGCUGGCGGCGUGCUUAACACAUGCAAGUCGAACGGAAAGGCCCUGCUUUUGUGGGGUGCUCGAGUGGCGAACGGGUGAGUAACACGUGAGUAACCUGCCCUUGACUUUGGGAUAACUUCAGGAAACUGGGGCUAAUACCGGAUAGGAGCUCCUGCUGCAUGGUGGGGGUUGGAAAGUUUCGGCGGUUGGGGAUGGACUCGCGGCUUAUCAGCUUGUUGGUGGGGUAGUGGCUUACCAAGGCUUUGACGGGUAGCCGGCCUGAGAGGGUGACCGGGCACAUUGGGACUAAGAUACGGCCCAGACUCCUACGGGAGGCAGCAGUGGGGAAUAUUGUACAAUGGGCGGAAGCCUGAUGCAGCAACGCCGCGUGCGGGAUGACGGCCUUCGGGUUGUAAACCGCUUUCGCCUGUGACGAAGCGUGAGUGACGGUAAUGGGUAAAGAAGCACCGGCUAACUACGUG